RNAcentral lists this small RNA (880 nucleotides) under Pan troglodytes (chimpanzee). RNAcentral's name for it is "retained intron". Lineage: Eukaryota; Metazoa; Chordata; Mammalia; Primates; Hominidae. The record is from RNAcentral.
GGAGCCUGGGCGCUGAGGUACCGGGGCCUGGACGAGGGGGCCGCGGUCUGGCUAGGGAGCCGCGCGGGCUCAUGGCGUGAAGAAAAUGAGGCACAAGGAAUUGUUAACCAAGACCUUCCAAGGCCCAGCUGUCGUGUGUGGGACUCCGACCAGCCACGUAUACAUGUUUAAGAAUGGCAGUGGGGACUCGGGGGACUCUUCUGAAGAAGAGUCUCACCGUGUGGUUUUGCGGCCCCGGGGCAAGGAGCGCCAGAAGAGCGGUGUCCACCGGCCUCACCAGGCGGGAGCAGGUGACGUGGUGCUGCUGCAGCGGGAGCUGGCCCAGGAGGACAGUCUCAACAAGCUGGCGCUGCAGUAUGGCUGCAAAGUAAGACACCCCUCAGGGGCCCUGCCCCGCUCCGUUUCGAGGAACACGGGGAACUCACUGCAGGGUGGGUGCCCUUGCCGCCCUUCUUAACCCUGCCAGGCCGUCAGGAGAGGCCUGCUGUAGCAGCCAAGGACUCCCCUAUUUAGCCAGAAUUGGAAUGCAGGUUGCAGAUAUCAAGAAAGUCAACAACUUCAUCAGAGAACAAGACUUAUAUGCUUUGAAAUCUGUUAAGAUUCCAGUGAGAAACCAUGGGAUCCUGACGGAGACCCACAAAGAACUGAAACCCCUUCUGAGCCCGUCUUCCGAGACCACAGUGACCGUGGAACUGCCAGAGGCAGACAGAACAGGCGCGGGCACCGGUGCCCAGGCCGGCCAACUGAUGGGCUUCUUUAAGGGGAUUGACCAGGAUAUUGAGCGUGCAGUGCAGUCAGAAAUCUUUCUACAUGAAGGUUACUGCAUGGACACCUCCCAUCAGCCACUGCUCCCGGCACCUCCGAAGACGCCAAUGGAUGG